Molecule: non-coding RNA, 623 nt
Organism: Paramuricea clavata
Lineage: Eukaryota; Metazoa; Cnidaria; Anthozoa; Malacalcyonacea; Plexauridae
Source: the annotation of a GenBank genome assembly
AUUCGAAUCUUUAUCGUCUAUCGUAUGUAUAUAAAAGGAACAAGAACGACAUAUGACAUGUCUAAACGGCGGCGUGUGUCUGUUUACUGGGUUACAACAACGGCAAUAACAAUGAAUCACCUAACAUUUCAAGAAAAUAUACAUUAUAGAUAGAUGUCAUGCAUGACCCCAUGAGUUUUGGAUUUGAAUUGCUAGAUUUAAAUCUAUAUUAUGUACACAAAAUCAUGCGUGCGUAAAUUUGAGCAAAAAAGCACAAGGUGUUUGUUUGGCCAUAUGCCCAUCAUGUAGUAUGAAUAUUGAACACCGUUUUAUAUAGCAUCGGAUAAUCCUGAAUCCUUCACCGAUUACAUGCGUGGCAAAUGACGAAAAAUAAUUAUGUAAAAUAAUUAACCUAAUAUGUCUUUGGCCAUGAAUGCAACUCACUAUGCUGCUUUAUACAUUUGACAGUCAAAACUAUGUGCAUGACUUGAUGACUGUAUGGCCCAAUGUAUGUUAAUUGUUUCAGGGAAAUUUUUGUGUUCAGAUUAAAGUAGAACAAUAUUUUCUGCAUUCCAAUAUAUUUUCUACAUGCAAGUGCACACUCUGUUUCAGAUAGGGGCCAAAUCAUUUGAGGCCAAAUGGGA